AAUAAGGUGCCCGAUUAAUAGGACUAUUUUGAUAGAAUAGAAUAUGUAUAAUUAAUAUACCCUUAUUA
This 68-nucleotide transfer RNA is filed under the name Caystrus obscurus. Its description in RNAcentral is "tRNA-Ile". Lineage: Eukaryota; Metazoa; Arthropoda; Insecta; Hemiptera; Pentatomidae. The record is from RNAcentral.